RNAcentral lists this ribosomal RNA (518 nucleotides) under uncultured bacterium. RNAcentral describes it as "partial 16S ribosomal RNA". The record is from RNAcentral.
ACACUGUUCAUGGGUUACCGCGGCUGCUGGCACGGAGUUAGCCGGUGCUUCUUCUGUGAGUGAUGUCCUUCCUGCCGGUUAUUGACCCGCAGGCCUUCUUCCUCACUGAAAGUGCUUUACAACCCGAAGGCCUUCUUCACACACGCGGCAUGGCUGGAUCAGGGUUGCCCCCAUUGUCCAAUAUUCCCCACUGCUGCCUCCCGUAGGAGUCUGGGCCGUGUCUCAGUCCCAGUGUGGCUGAUCAUCCUCUCAGACCAGCUACGGAUCGUCGCCUUGAUGAGCCGUUACCUCACCAACCAGCUAAUCCGACAUAGGCUCAUCCGAUAGCGCGAGGCCCGAAGGUCCCCCGCUUUCCCCCGUAGGGCGUAUGCGGUAUUAGCCUGGGUUUCCCCAGGUUAUCCCCCACUACCGGGCAGAUUCCUAUGCAUUACUCACCCGUCCGCCGCUCGCCACCAGGGAGCAAGCUCCCCGUGCUGCCGCUCGACUUGCAUGUGUUAGGCCUGCCGCCAGCGUUCAAU